Molecule: ribosomal RNA, 580 nt
Filed under: uncultured Bacteroidota bacterium
Lineage: Bacteria; Pseudomonadati; Bacteroidota
Description: bacterial SSU rRNA
Rfam family: Bacterial small subunit ribosomal RNA
Source: RNAcentral
GGGCGGCUUUAUAACACACUGCAGCGAGGGGUACAGGAUUGUUGCAAUCCGCUGACGACCGGCGCACGGGUGCGUAACGCGUAUGCAACCUACCUUCUACAGGGGGAUAGUCAAUAGAAAUGUUGAAUAAUACCCCAUACGAUCAUGAAUUGGCAUCAAUUUAUGAGGAAAGUUCCGGCGGUAGAAGAUGGGCGAUGCGCUCCGAGCUAUUAGCUUAGUUGGUAAGGUAACGGCUUACCAAGACAUCGAUAGGUAGGGGUCCUGAGAGGGAGAUCCCCCACACUGGUACUGAGACACGGACCAGACUCCUACGGGAGGCAGCAGUGAGGAAUAUUGGACAAUGGAGGCAACUCUGAUCCAGCCAUGCCGCGUGCAGGAAGACGGACCUAUGGGUUGUAAACUGCUUUUAUACAGGAAGAAUGGUACCUACGUGUAGGUAUUUGACGGUACUGUACGAAUAAGGAUCGGCUAACUCCGUGCCAGCAGCCGCGGUAAUACGGAGGAAUCCAGCGUUCUCCGGAAUCGUUGGGUUUAAAGGGGUCGUACGCCGGGUUUUAAGUCAGAGGUGAAUCCUGGAGAA